This 1372-nucleotide ribosomal RNA is filed under the name uncultured bacterium. RNAcentral's name for it is "bacterial SSU rRNA". It matches the Rfam family "Bacterial small subunit ribosomal RNA", at positions 28 to 1381 of the family's 1533-position model. The record is from RNAcentral.
GAUGAACGCUGGCGGCGUGCCUAAUACAUGCAAGUCGAGCGAACGGACGAGAAGCUUGCUUCUCCGAUGUUAGCGGCGGACGGGUGAGUAACACGUGGAUAACCUACCUAUAGGACUGGGAUAACUUCGGGAAACCGGAGCUAAUACCGGAUAAUAUUUUGAACCGCAUGGUUCAAAAGUGAAAGACGGUCUUGCUGUCACUUAUAGAUGGAUCCGCGCUGCAUUAGCUAGUUGGUAAGGUAACGGCUUACCAAGGCAACGAUGCAUAGCCGACCUGAGAGGGUGAUCGGCCACACUGGAACUGAGACACGGUCCAGACUCCUACGGGAGGCAGCAGUAGGGAAUCUUCCGCAAUGGGCGAAAGCCUGACGGAGCAACGCCGCGUGAGUGAUGAAGGUCUUCGGAUCGUAAAACUCUGUUAUUAGGGAAGAACAUAUGUGUAAGUAACUGUGCACAUCUUGACGGUACCUAAUCAGAAAGCCACGGCUAACUACGUGCCAGCAGCCGCGGUAAUACGUAGGUGGCAAGCGUUAUCCGGAAUUAUUGGGCGUAAAGCGCGCGUAGGCGGUUUUUUAAGUCUGAUGUGAAAGCCCACGGCUCAACCGUGGAGGGUCAUUGGAAACUGGAAAACUUGAGUGCAGAAGAGGAAAGUGGAAUUCCAUGUGUAGCGGUGAAAUGCGCAGAGAUAUGGAGGAACACCAGUGGCGAAGGCGACUUUCUGGUCUGUAACUGACGCUGAUGUGCGAAAGCGUGGGGAUCAAACAGGAUUAGAUACCCUGGUAGUCCACGCCGUAAACGAUGAGUGCUAAGUGUUAGGGGGUUUCCGCCCCUUAGUGCUGCAGCUAACGCAUUAAGCACUCCGCCUGGGGAGUACGACCGCAAGGUUGAAACUCAAAGGAAUUGACGGGGACCCGCACAAGCGGUGGAGCAUGUGGUUUAAUUCGAAGCAACGCGAAGAACCUUACCAAAUCUUGACAUCCUUUGACAACUCUAGAGAUAGAGCCUUCCCCUUCGGGGGACAAAGUGACAGGUGGUGCAUGGUUGUCGUCAGCUCGUGUCGUGAGAUGUUGGGUUAAGUCCCGCAACGAGCGCAACCCUUAAGCUUAGUUGCCAUCAUUAAGUUGGGCACUCUAAGUUGACUGCCGGUGACAAACCGGAGGAAGGUGGGGAUGACGUCAAAUCAUCAUGCCCCUUAUGAUUUGGGCUACACACGUGCUACAAUGGACAAUACAAAGGGCAGCGAAACCGCGAGGUCAAGCAAAUCCCAUAAAGUUGUUCUCAGUUCGGAUUGUAGUCUGCAACUCGACUACAUGAAGCUGGAAUCGCUAGUAAUCGUAGAUCAGCAUGCUACGGUGAAUACGUUCCCGGGUCU